Molecule: long non-coding RNA, 1863 nt
Filed under: Gallus gallus (chicken)
Lineage: Eukaryota; Metazoa; Chordata; Aves; Galliformes; Phasianidae
Source: RNAcentral
AAGCAAUGCGCACAGGAAUUCUGUUGUUGUUUUUGUUCCUACGCACAUGCCAUUCAUAUGAGGUGGUGUUUGUGCUUCGCUCGCGGUGGCGGUGGACGUCACUGUCUGGAACUGCGCAGGCCUCAUGGUCAGAGGGAUAUGUUUAGGGCCCUCCACAGUGAACCUGAAGACAAGGAUAUCAGAAGACAAAUAGACCUCCAGGUUCCUUAGGAUGUGUCUCAAUGGGCAGGUGAGGGCAGACCCAAAUUAAUUGCACCCACACCACGUCACUCAGGUGCAAGGCACUUCUAGCCCAGAAGCUGUGUGACUCUGCAGGCAGCACUGUGCCAACAUGGGGCAAAACCUGCAGUUUGGCUCAAUACCCACCUGGCGUUGGAUGCAAACAAACCUGUGAGUCCUACACCAAGUCUACAUCUUGGCCUGCCUUCUUCAGUUCACUCCGUUGGUACAGCUGGGCUCUCAGUGAACCAGAAAGUGUGAGGUUUGCCAGAACUGAAGAGCGUGUGAAUGGGUUUGUGGAGGUGAGGGAAAAACGUGUAUUUUUUUUUUUAAACCUGAAAAACUAGCUUACCUGUGCAUCAUAAUAGGGAUUUUGGAAUUGAGACUAUUGUAAUGGUUGUGGUCUAGAGUCAUUAGAGCAGUGCUGCGCUACUGGGACACUUAUAGGCUACCUCCACACUUACCAUUGCUCAGAAGACAGACAUUCUCUUCUUCCUUUAGCUAAGCCUGCCUGAACUGGGGGGCUUUUGCAUGACUGUGAAGGAAAGAACUUAAUUCUUCUUUAUGACCUGCUUCAAACAAAGCUACAGCAACCAAAUGGACCGUGCUGUGUGAAACCCAACAUCAUGCUCGUGUGAGUCAAAUAUCCCCCUCUGGUGCUGGAGAGUUCAGCUAAAGAGCAAACAACGGUAAACACCAGCAGCUGAAAGUGGGUGUUCUUUUGCUUUCUUCAUGGCAACAGCCCAGCAGACUGACGGAGAUCAAAAAUUACCUUAUCACCUGGAGGUCUGCAGAGAAGCCAAGAGAUGUUGAAACCUCCCACCACCUCCAACAUCAAAGGCUGCAGCAGGUAUCUUUCCAGGUGCUUUUUCACAGCCAGCCUCAGUGAAAGCUCCCAUUCAAAAGGCAGUAACUCGGGAACAUUAGGUGUAGCUUCUGGUGGCUGAACCGGUUAAAGUUACCCUUCAAUGUCACCAGAAUAGCACACUAAAAGGGGAAAUUCAAGGAGGAAAACAAAAAGAGUCCUACCUAGGGGAUUGGCUGCUUUACAGGGGCUGGUAAUGAGAUCAUACUGCCAUGAUUCAAGGUCACAAAUUUGACUUUAGAUAAGGUGUAGCAACAGCCUCAAUCUGUAAUGGUGACUGUUCAGCAGCCUGUGUGACAUUAAUGGGUAGUCUCUUGUAGCCUUUUAAUUUAACAAGGUGAUUGCUAUAAGUUUUGUAAAAAAAUACCUCCAAACACAACUACUAAAAUGAGCUGGCGUGUGAUAGUGAACAACAAAGUUCACUGAAGCCUUUUGUACUGAUGCAUUGAAUGAUGAUGUAUUCACACCACUUUGCUGUUCUUUGUUAGAGCUUGAGGGCAGAGAUGUUAACAAAGGAUGUUCUGUAUAUUUGCAACAUAACAAAAUAAAAGAUUUUUUUUCCAGUAGGGCAUAACUACUAUCACAUAUGACUCUAACUUUAAAUGUGCCAUAAGGUAGCAGCACUGUCCAGAAGCUAGGCCUCUUCUACCUUUCAGCUUGCUGAGAACAACUUGUCUGAAAAGAUGCAGGCUGCUUUCUGCUCUGUACCUUUGUGCAGGGAGAAUUCAGAGUUCCUGGUGCAGUCCCAUCGUGCUGUGCUCGCCUCCUUUAGAGUUCAC